CAAUAGCGUAUAUUAAAGUUGUUGCAGUUAAAAAGCUCGUAGUUGGAUUUCUGGCCGAGUGUCCCUAGGCCAGCAUGACGUUUGGUCCUAGGCGCUCUGCCAUCCUUCUGUCAACCUUCGCCUUCUUCAUUGGGGGCGCUGGGGCUCAGAUAUUUUACCUUGAGAAAAUUAGGAGUUGUUUCAGGCAGGUCUUCGGACCGGAAUACAUUAGCAGUAGGAAAUAAGUAGGAAAAGGUACUUACCAACCUCUUCUGUUGGUCUGAGAGGCUGUAGUAAUGAUUAAUAGGGAUAGGUUGGGGGCAUUAGUACUUAACUGUCAGAGGUAGAAAUUCUUGGUAUUUAUAGAAAGACUAACUACUGACGAAAGCUAUUUG
This 374-nucleotide ribosomal RNA is filed under the name uncultured eukaryote. RNAcentral's name for it is "bacterial SSU rRNA". It matches the Rfam family "Eukaryotic small subunit ribosomal RNA", at positions 592 to 957 of the family's 1831-position model. The record is from RNAcentral.